RNAcentral lists this ribosomal RNA (207 nucleotides) under uncultured bacterium. RNAcentral's name for it is "partial 16S ribosomal RNA". It matches the Rfam family "Bacterial small subunit ribosomal RNA", at positions 568 to 774 of the family's 1533-position model. The record is from RNAcentral.
CGUGUAGGCGGCAGUGCAAGUCUGGUGUGAAAGGCUCCGGCUCAACCGGAGAAGCGCGCUGGAAACUGUGCUGCUUGAGUUUAGGAGGGGGAACUGGAAUUCCUGGUGUAGGGGUGAAAUCUGUAGAGAUCAGGAAGAACACCGGAGGCGAAGGCGAGUUCCUGGCCAUAGACUGACGCUGAGGCGCGAAAGCGUGGGGAGCGAACA